This 466-nucleotide ribosomal RNA is filed under the name uncultured bacterium. RNAcentral's name for it is "partial 16S ribosomal RNA". It matches the Rfam family "Bacterial small subunit ribosomal RNA", at positions 28 to 505 of the family's 1533-position model. The record is from RNAcentral.
GACGAACGCUGGCGGCGUGCUUAACACAUGCAAGUCGAACGGAAAGGCCCUGCUUUUGUGGGGUGCUCGAGUGGCGAACGGGUGAGUAACACGUGAGUAACCUGCCCUUGACUUUGGGAUAACUUCAGGAAACUGGGGCUAAUACCGGAUAGGAGCUCCUGCUGCAUGGUGGGGGUUGGAAAGUUUCGGCGGUUGGGGAUGGACUCGCGGCUUAUCAGCUUGUUGGUGGGGUAGUGGCUUACCAAGGCUUUGACGGGUAGCCGGCCUGAGAGGGUGACCGGCCACAUUGGGACUGAGAUACGGCCCAGACUCCUACGGGAGGCAGCAGUGGGGAAUAUUGCACAAUGGGCGGAAGCCUUAUGCAGCAACGCCGCGUGCGGGAUGACGGCCUUCGGGUUGUAAACCGCUUUCGCCUGUGACGAAGCGUGAGUGACGGUAAUGGGUAAAGAAGCACCGGCUAACUACG